RNAcentral lists this ribosomal RNA (440 nucleotides) under uncultured bacterium. RNAcentral's name for it is "partial 16S ribosomal RNA". It matches the Rfam family "Bacterial small subunit ribosomal RNA", at positions 338 to 795 of the family's 1533-position model. The record is from RNAcentral.
CCUACGGGUGGCAGCAGUGGGGAAUAUUGCACAAUGGGGGAAACCCUGAUGCAGCGACGCCGCGUGAAUGAAGAAGUAAUUCGUUAUGUAAAGCUCUAUCAGCGUGGAAGAAAAUGACUGUACCUGAGUGAGAAGCCCCGGCUAACUACGUGCCAGCAGCCGCGGUAAUACGGAGGGGGCCAGCGUUAUCCGGAUUUACUGGGUGUAAAGGGAGCGUAGACGGCAGUGCAAGUCUGGAGUGAAAGGCGGGGGCUCAACCCCAGGACUGCUGUUGAAACUGUACGGCUGGAGUGCAGGAGAGGUAAGCGGAAUUCCUAGUGUAGCGGUGAAAUGCGUAGAUAUUAGGAGGAACACCAGUGGCGAAGGCGGCUUACUGGACUGUAACUGACGCUGAGGCUCGAAAGCGUGGGGAGCAAACAGGAUUAGAUACCCUUGUAGUC